Molecule: unclassified non-coding RNA, 1272 nt
Filed under: Hevea brasiliensis (rubber tree)
Lineage: Eukaryota; Viridiplantae; Streptophyta; Magnoliopsida; Malpighiales; Euphorbiaceae
Source: RNAcentral
GAAACAUCCGAAGCCAUUAACCGACAGCGAUUGAAAGCUUGGAUAUGCUUCUUAGGGCGAUUGUGGAAAGCCGCUAGAGGUACUUAUCGAAGCUUGGAAACUUUACAGUUCUUCAAGAACUCAUUUUCUGGGAGCUACAAGUAAAGGGGUCGGACUGGUGAUAAAUAUGUGAUCCUUCUGCUGGCUUAUUUUUGCCUUGAAUGAUUGAUGAGCACAAUUUUAUGAGAUGGGUAUCGCUGCCCAAUUCAGGAGGUUAUGUCUCGUUGAAAAUCGGAGGUUGCUUAUGGUCAUUAGUGUGGCGAUUAUUAUUGCUGCUCUUUUACAGUGUUUUGCACUUCCUUACUGGAAAAGAUGGUCCCUGUCAACGGCUGAUGAGGGUUCAUUAGUUGUGCUAAUCAGCAAUGCCACCUUUUCAAAUAAUUUAAGACCAAGGCCAGUUAAUGUGUCUAAUAGUAUGGUAAAUGAUACUUAUCCCUCUGAUUUGGAUGAAGAAGUUGGAGAUGGGAAUGAAACAAAAGAAACAAGUACAGACAAUUUGUCACCAGCUAAGAGUGAACAUGGUGAACUCACAUUGAACAUUGGUGCAAUGCUUGGCAAGAGUUUGAUAAUGGGAUAUGAUGCAAGUACAGGUGACGAUUCUAUUCAAGCAACAGCUUUAGAAAUUGGACAUGGUAAUGUGCUGCAGGCUGAAAAAGUAGAUGACAAGGAAGCAGCCGCUGGUUUAACAUUUGGAGGAGUUCAAAUUAGAGCUGGCAUUGUGCCUGUUGUACUACCAGGAAUUUCUGCAAAGAAUGGGGGAAAAAUGGAUACAGAAUCGAGCACUUCUAAUGCAUUCUUCCCUGCCAAUGAAACUUCAGCGGAUAAUGUAAGAGGGAUUGCAGAAAUACAGCCCCAAAUUUCUGUGUCGAUCACUCAGAAAAAGAAUUCUCCACAGGAUAGUAUUUCCACAUUGAAGAGGGGGGACACACAACCAAUGUCAAUAUCCCAGAUGAAUUCACUAUUGCUUCACAAUCUUGUUUCAUCACAUUAUGUGAGGACAAAAUGGUAUUCUGUACGUGACCGUGAGCUUCUAUCUGCAAAAUUGAAGAUAGAGAAUGCUCCUAUUCUAAGGAGUCCUCCUGGACUUUAUGCUUCUGCUUUUCGAAAUGUUUCCAUUUUUAAAAGGAGUUAUGAGUUGAUGGAACGCAUGCUCAGAAUUUAUAUCUAUAAGGAAGGUGAAAAGCCCGUAUUUCAUCAGUCUAAGAUGAUAGGAAUAUAUGCAUCAGAAGGAUG